Molecule: long non-coding RNA, 1303 nt
Organism: Chinchilla lanigera (long-tailed chinchilla)
Lineage: Eukaryota; Metazoa; Chordata; Mammalia; Rodentia; Chinchillidae
Exons: 3
Source: RefSeq, a predicted model, not a curated record
CUUGAUCAGAGCUCAAGAAGCACAGUCACCACAGGACAAUGUGAUAUUUCUGGACCGGGAAUCCAACCUUCCCACUGUGUGUGCAAUGCCUCUGCUUUCCUCUCCGCCACCCCCGCCGUUGCUGCCCUCUCCUAGCUUCUGUGUGCCAUCAGAUCUCUGAUGGGUUUUAAACUAGGGAGCAUGGGUGAAGGCUGGACUUCCAGAGAAAAAGAAGUUGUGAGGUUUUCAAGCUCACAUUGUUGAUUCACAGUGGGACUCUGGAUUUCAGAAAACCCAGCCUCUCUGCAGAAGCCUCCAUUGGUAACCACCUCUGCCCAGUCCAACUCUACGUGGGAGAGAGAUGCUAGGAAUUCAGUGGCAUUCAAGGCAGACCAUAGGUGUUUUUGGACUACGUACUGUUUGUCAGUUUAUCAGAUUCCCCAAGAUGCUUCCAACGUUUUGAAAUGAAUUAUCCAAAGGAAACCAAUGAAACAAUGACUUUUAGACUGUCUUUCAUGGAGCCCUGGAUUCCAUGAAAGGGACUUGGAGACUGUAAAGUGGGUGAAAGGAGAUGAGGAAUGAAGUUGCAGACCCCAACCCCACUUCAUCCAGAGCAACACAACUUUUAUUGGUACUUUUAUUCUGGACUUCCAUAUUAAAAUCCACUUAACAAAAGUUUUAUGAAAAUGAAAGUUUGAAAACUUGUAUCUUGAGAAAAGGCCUUUCCUUAUGUAAGCAAGCUACUCCCAGGGCUAACAGUCUUCUACUGGGCAAGAUAGCUCACUAGCACACUACUUAGAGAUGCUAACGUAAUCAUCCGAGAGGAGGGAACCGGGAGUGUGUCAAGACCACAUUUCAAGAACACAGCCUUUAAUACUUGGCAUGAGUCAUUGAUGGGGAAAAUGCUUUUUUCUUCUUUUAUUCUUUUUGCAGACAAUAAUGUCUGCUCUCUGCAUAUGAAGUUCAGGAAGCACAACUAAUGCACCAAGAAAGAAAAGGGCUAGAGACAUGUCACAUCUCAGGAGCACAAUCUGAGUUGUAGGUCUUUCCUUGCAAAUGAAAUUGGUAUAUCAACUUUGCAAGAAUCCACAGGCUGUUUCCAAAGUCCAUAAAAAUCCAAUAAAGGAAGUUCCCCUCCUUAAACAUAUGCUACACAAAACUGGAUGCUGGGGAAAUAUUCACACUCAUCUUCCUCUUCUUAUCUGCUGAAGUUCUGCUUAGAACUGACCAGAUGAUCUGUUCACUUGGCUCCCAGACGAGUAUCAAAGCUUUCUAAUCAUCCCCUUGGUGAAUCCCAGGAAACUGAUUUAUACCCCAAGGCUCA